RNAcentral lists this ribosomal RNA (1287 nucleotides) under Rhynchocypris oxycephala (Chinese minnow). RNAcentral's name for it is "Phoxinus oxycephalus (Chinese minnow) partial 16S ribosomal RNA". It matches the Rfam family "Bacterial large subunit ribosomal RNA", at positions 614 to 2596 of the family's 2925-position model. The record is from RNAcentral. Lineage: Eukaryota; Metazoa; Chordata; Actinopteri; Cypriniformes; Leuciscidae.
CAUGAUUUAGCCAGUACCCCCAAGCAAAGAGACCUUUAGUUUGAUACCCCGAAACCAGGUGAGCUACCCCGAGACAGCCUAUGUUAAUUUAGGGCUAACCCGUCUCUGUGGCAAAAGAGUGGGAAGAGCUCCGGGUAGAAGUGAAAGACCUACCGAACCUGGUGAUAGCUGGUUGACUGAGAAAUGGAUAGAAGUUCAGCCUCACACACCCCGAACCAAAGAAUAUUAUCACCAAGAUAUUUAGGGAAAAGUGCGAGAGUUAGUUGAAAGGGGUACAGCCCUUUUAACAAAGGAUACAACCUUAACAGGAGGAUAAAGAUCAUAAUAUAUAAGAUAUACUGUUCUAGUGGGCCUGAAAGCAGCCACCUAAGCAGAAAGCGUUAAAGCUCGGACAGAAAGAAGUUUAUUAUACAGAUAAAAAAUCUUAUUCCCCUAACUAUAUCAGACCAACCCAUGCCCGCAUGGAAGAGAUUAUGCUAAAAUGAGUAAUAAGAAGACCCGCUCUUCUCCCAGCACAAGUGUAAACCAGAUCGGACCAACCACUGGAACUUAACGAACCCAACCCAAGAGGGUAGUGUGAUUAACAAAAAACUCAAGAAGACCUCACAUUAGCUAAUCGUUAACCCCACACUGGAGUGCUUUUUUAAGGGAAAGACUAAAAGAAGGGGAAGGAACUCGGCAAACACAAGCCUCGCCUGUUUACCAAAAACAUCGCCUCCUGCAACUAAACUGAGUAUAGGAGGUCCAGCCUGCCCAGUGACUACGGGUUCAACGGCCGCGGUAUCUUGACCGUGCAAAGGUAGCGCAAUCACUUGUCUCUUAAAUAGAGACCUGUAUGAAUGGCUAGACGAGGGCUUAACUGUCUCCCCCCUCCAGUCAGUGAAAUUGAUCUAUCCGUGCAGAAGCGGGUAUAAAUAUACAAGACGAGAAGACCCUUUGGAGCUUAAGGUACAAAGUACAACCACGUUAAACAACUCUAUAAGAAGCAAGAACUUAAUGGUAAUGAAUUUUUACCUUCGGUUGGGGCGACCGCGGAGGAAAAACAAGCCUCCGAGUGGACUGGGCCUAACCCCUGAAGCCAAUAGAGACAUCUAUGGACCGCAGAACAUCUGACCAAAAAUGAUCCGGCUAAAAAGCCGACCAACGAACCAAGUUACCCAAGGGAUAACAGCGCAAUCCCCUCCCAGAGCCCAUAUCUACGAGGGGGUUUACGACCUCGAUGUUGGAUCAGGACAUCCUAAUGGUGCAGCCGCUAUUAAGGGUUCGUUUGUUCAACGAUUAAAGUCC